Molecule: non-coding RNA, 72 nt
Organism: Bos taurus (domestic cattle)
Lineage: Eukaryota; Metazoa; Chordata; Mammalia; Artiodactyla; Bovidae
Source: Rfam
UCUCUGGUGGCUCAGUAGGUAUAGAAUCUGCCUGCAAUGCAGCAGAUCCAGGUUUGAUCCCUGGUCGGGAAG